This 292-nucleotide ribosomal RNA is filed under the name uncultured bacterium. RNAcentral describes it as "partial 16S ribosomal RNA". It matches the Rfam family "Bacterial small subunit ribosomal RNA", at positions 505 to 796 of the family's 1533-position model. The record is from RNAcentral.
GUGUCAGCAGCCGCGGUAAGACGAACCGUGCAAACGUUGUUCGGAAUCACUGGGCUUAAAGGGCGCGUAGGCGGGUCAUCAAGUCCGGGGUGAAAUCUUUCGGCUUAACCGGAAAAGUUCCUUGGAUACUGGUGACCUGGAGGGAGGUAGGGGCAUGCGGAACUUCCGGUGGAGCGGUUAAAUGCGUAGAUAUCGGAAGGAACGCCGGUGGCGAAAGCGGCGCGCUGGACCUCACCUGACGCUGAGGCGCGAAAGCCAGGGGAGCAAACGGGAUUAGAUACCCCAGUAGUCC